RNAcentral lists this transfer RNA (68 nucleotides) under Neoclinus bryope. RNAcentral describes it as "tRNA-Ser(AGY)". The record is from RNAcentral. Lineage: Eukaryota; Metazoa; Chordata; Actinopteri; Blenniiformes; Labrisomidae.
GAGAGAGGCUCGCCAGCAACAAGGACUGCUAAUCUUCGCCUCCCUGGUUGAACCCCAGGGCUCACUCG